Long non-coding RNA from Girardinichthys multiradiatus, 4687 nucleotides. RefSeq lists it as uncharacterized. The record is from RefSeq and is a predicted model, not a curated record. NCBI's taxonomy places the organism in Eukaryota, Metazoa, Chordata, Actinopteri, Cyprinodontiformes, Goodeidae. The transcript is spliced from 2 exons.
UCAGUCUAAAACCAGCCGAGACAGAGAACUGGUACAAUAUGUCCUAUAUUAUUUUAAUGUUAAAUUACCUAUAAAUUGUCAGAGGGUGUGUUGAAUAAGGGCAAAUAUGCACGAAAUGUGGAGGACAAGGCAGAGAGAAAUUGGAAGCGUUUAAUGCAGCUGCUUGCGUGACAAGGAACUAAACACAGACACCGAGGUGUCGCCUUCACCACCGUACAUCCACCCUAAUAAUCCGUUUACUGAGGCCAUGGUUAGAAGAGUUAGAUUAUUAGCUGGUAUAACUUUAGCAUUGGGAGAUUUCAGACAACUUUUGGGCCGCAGCACUACACGUAGUAAUCUCUAGGUUAUUGAGAAUGCGGCCCGCACCUCUCAUCAAUGCGACGCAACACCUUACUUUGCUGUAGCUGGAGACGCGCUGUGUGACAUGUUUCCAUCUAAAAUUCAGACACCGUGCUUUAAUUUUUCUGACACAGGCGAACACAUGUUGUUUCUUUAUGAGGCGGUAGAAACCUGUAUCAAACAGACAGUGACUCGAUGGAGUUCAAUAUUUUAGACAAACUGUGAUGGAUGGAAUACCUGAAGGAAAACAAUGCGAGGAAACCCAGAUUUAGAAAGGGUUUGGUCACGCUGAGUGGGACAGACAUUUGGCACACCAUAUGAAGGAAUAUUUGGAGGAGAAAAAAGAACAAAUAGAACAUGAAAAGAAACAGCUUGAUGCAUUAGACAAAAAACUUAAAACUGCCCAAUUAACCGCAGUAAGAUAGAAGAGGAAUUGUAAAAAGCCUGAUAAAAAAAUGAUCACUGCAGAGGUUGACAGAGGAGCAAAUUGGAUGAUGGCUCCUGUUACAUCUCCGCCCACUUCAGCAGCUAUGGGGUGGUUAUACCUAGCUCCUACCAAUGUAUAUCAACUGGCUCCACCUAUCCAGUGGGAGUCACACCCAUAUAGUCCUCGUGGCCGGGCCAGGGGUGGGCCGUUUGGAAAGAGGACCGGACGAAGGGGUGGACAGGAAGGAGCUGGUUCCUCCUCCUACCUAGUAUGUGGGCAGACGGAUCAUGGACCGCAGCUGCCCUCAGCGCUAUGGGGCACGUCCAGAAGGAGCUCCUCCAUCUUUGCAUCAAACUCCUCUGACACAACAAGCUCCUGUCACCGCACAAUGCAGCACUCAUACCACAGUGACACACCCACAGAGAGGUCCAGACUGAGAAAAAGGCAGAACCCAUUGUUCCAGUGGAAUUAAAGGGACACUUUGCUAUUUCUUGUGAACACUGAAGCCACGUUUUCCACGUUGAACAUUCCUCCAUCCAAUAAAAUAUCUUCUCUGAUGGGGUGAAACAGACUCUGGCUGUGUUUCUGUAGAGGAGCCUUGUGUGGACAUUUAUCAGGGCUUCAUUGAGCCUGAAACCCCUUCUAGUGCUGGGAUGAGGUCCAGUUUCCUUAUCUGGAAACCCUGGAUUCGGGCCCUGGCUCCUUGUGGCCUAAUACCUGCUCUGCCAUGUGUGACUUUGUUUUGUGACAGAAAUUAGAAAACAAACAGAUUGGUUUCAGGAACAGUUUGAGGAAUAGUUUGAGGAAUACUUUAGAAAAGAAAAUAUGGACUAUUUCCUCUAAAACAUUUAUGAAAUGUCUGAUGAAGCUGUAUCUCACAUAUCUCUACCCUUGCACUUAAGUCAUCAGACUAAAGAACAGGGAGGAGUUGUAACACGUUCCCUUGCAGCCACUGAUUAGCAACUUACUGCUGUUCCAGCCCUUUCUUUCUCUGCCUCCACUAACAUUUACUGUGUUGAAGCUAUUGACUCUGCCAUUUUAGAACAUCAUCAGCUAUCUAGAUAACACGGCAGAGAAUUAACUGAUCACUCUCUGACUGAGGCUGUUUAUCAAGUUGUCUACCACAUGUCUUCCCAUUUGGCAAAACCAGUACCCACACUCUCCUGCUGCAGAGGUGGGAAUUGCUGACACCAUUGAGGGGCUGUUAAAAGCAGGCAUGUUAGAACCCUGCCAGUCUGCUUGGAACACCCCCAUUCUGCCUGUAAAAAGGAAAGUCAUAGGUAACUGCAAUAUGGCUCACGAUUUAACAUAAAUUAAUAGUUCUGACAGCUGACUAGCUGAACAGUACAGGGAUGUCUUCUCGUUCACUUAUAGGAAUCAACAACUGAGAGACACCAGGUUGCCUCAAGAGUUUGCCUUAUCCCUGGGUCAGAUUCUCAAAUCAGGCUCUCAAACUGCAGCUCCAGGACUGCAUGUUGCCAGCAGAGGUGGUUUCUGAUUACAGCCCGAACAGCAACCGCGUGUAUUGAAGUUACCAGGUUAACAGGUGUGGAAGUGAGUAAAAUGAAAAACUGAUUGAAGAAUAGAGGUUACUUUUUAGGAACAGUUAUUUCAACAACAGGAACCCAUAUUUUUUUUGCACAAAAAUCUGCCAUUUUACAUCAUCCCAAACAAAGAUUUGUUGUCAUUUUUGGGUUAGACUGCCAAAAGCUGAAACUAUGUCCCUGAGUACGCUGGUUUGACAGCACCACUGAGUCUUUUGGUAAAAAGCAGAGUUGGAAAAAUCUUAAUGCAUCACUUAAUUGUAACACAGACGCGAGGAAUCGUUCAUUAAGUUUAAACAGCUGCUGUAGUUUGCUGCACAAUUGCUCUUUUCAGGAUUACUGUCUGCCUUUUGAUUCAGAUGUUUCUGUAACAACAAGGUUGUUGCAGAAAAAGCGGGAUAGAAGUGAUUCAGUAUGUUAGCUGUAUGCUAGAUAAUAUGGAAAAAGACAUGUUGAUUUGAAACAAUGGUUGAGAAGUGGAUUUGUGACUGCAGCACAAAAGCCAAUCAAACAUGAAAAUUAAAUGAGAUUUAUGGCUCGAGCCUUGUUGUUGCCUAAAGGUAGCAGGUUAUGCACGCAGCUUCAAUUUAGUAAGUGUUGAAGCUGAGAACUUUCAACAUCUAAACUUGGAAAAAUCAAACAACAUCACAAAAGGGGUUCUCCCCUUGAGGAACUUACUGUGUGGAAGAGAAAAGGCCCUGGUGAUAAAAGUGGUAAAGCCACUAAACAUGAGAGAACACAUUUCGGAAAAGGCACAUGGAACAUCACAUGUAAGUAUUUUGCAGGUGCCUAUCAAUCCAGAACAAUGGUGGCACCCAUAUUUAAAAGAUAUGAUGAACUGUUCCAUCUGUGGAUAAUUUAAUCCAAAACUUACGAUGCAUUCAUCUCCAGGUAAGUUUAAAAUUACACCCAACCUGGGAAGGAGAUCAUCAUUGCCUACACAGACAUGGUAUCCACAGCGAGAGGAUAUAGAUACAGGUUGGUCUGUGUGGAUGGAUAUUCAGGAUGGCCUGAGGCAUGGCCCACAAGAAAGGAGGACAGUAAGUAUGUGGUAAAAUGUUUAAUUAAUCAUUACAUUCCCAGACAUGGCUUCCCGGAAAAGAUAAGAUCUGAUAAUGGAACUCAUUUCAGGAGCAAAGAUUUGCAACAGGUGGAGCAAAUGUUGGAACUACAACAUGAUUUCGGUACAGUAUAUCAUCCUCAAUCACAGGGCAAGGUUGAAAUAGUGAACCAAACAUUGAAAACAAAAUUGGCUGAAAUCAGUGCACAGACCAAAUUAAAUUGGGUGGAUGCAUUGCCAGUUGCUUUAAUGUCUGUCAGGAUGUCUGUUAAUCAGUCCACAGGUUGCACCACACAUGAACUACAGACUGGGACCAGCACAGUGGAUACGAGGACAAACAGGUGAAUCGGCAUGAUUAUCUUCUAACACGUUCUUUAAUGAGUUGCAGACCCUAGCGGCAGAAUUCUCCUGAGGAUCUGAGGGAACAAGAGGCUCCCCUGUGGUACCAGGAGUCACUGGGUGUUGCUUCAGGUCAUCAAGCGGAAGUGGCAGGAACCCAGAUUCACAGGCCCGUUCCAAGUCCUGGAAAGAACAUCUUGUGCGGUUCGUCUGAGAGGAAAAGGAGAAAUCUGGUAUCAUUGGAGCCAGUCUGCACCAGCUGAGGAGCCUACAAAGUCACAGGCACCAGAGGUGUCUUAAAGGGGCAUAAUAAAUCCCCUGGAGGCUCACCGGUGUGAUCGCACUGAGCUGAAGAGGAUUUAUCCACUCCAGAGACUUUUUCUUUUGGUUUUCAAGAGGAUUUAUCCACUACAAGGAGUCAUUAUAUUCAACUAAUCAACAGAUAAAUUCAGGACUGGGAAUUGGAACAUAUGUGACUCUUGAUUUUGAUUAUGUGAUUAUUGAAUGUGGUGUCUUUUCUGUCAAUUAAUCUUUGGAGCAUUGGUUAUGCUAUUGUUGUUUUAUAUACUCGAUGAAUGACUUUGAAUCAACAUUUCUGAGUAAAUCCCACAGCGUGUGAAGGUUAUAAGCUCCUGGGUAAGUGGAAUUGAUCUGAUCCAAAAAAUAAAAAUGGUGAUGCAUGGUUGGGAUGUUAGUUUUAAAUGGAAAUAUGGGGGAGGAGGUUUAAUAAUGACACUGGUGGGAAUAAUUGUGUUCUUGACGUGUGAUGUUUUCCAGAGUGGUGAGCACCCCUCCAGUCCCAAUCUCCGCAGUCGUCGUCAUCUACUCCGGAAAAUGAUUGGAAUAUCGGACACAUGCAUUAAAGACAUGGAGAUGCAGUUCCACCAGUUCCAACUGCUGCUACCUAUCUUUAUCUACAUCUACUCCAACAACAAUUAUCAUCUUGUGCUCUUGCCAUCCACUAAACCAAAAAUUGUG